Molecule: unclassified non-coding RNA, 343 nt
Filed under: Vibrio cincinnatiensis DSM 19608
Lineage: Bacteria; Pseudomonadati; Pseudomonadota; Gammaproteobacteria; Vibrionales; Vibrionaceae
Description: Long range pseudoknot
Source: RNAcentral
ACUGAUAUUGGAGACUAUCAGGUAAAACUACGCAACCUGACUCGUUUCCUUGAAGAAGGCAACAAAGUGAAAGUAACUAUUCGCUUUCGUGGCCGAGAGAUGGCACACCAAGAUAUCGGUGUCGACGUUCUUAAUCGUUUGAAAGAAGAUACAGCAGAACUUGCUGUUGUAGAGUCUUUUCCUACGCGAAUUGAAGGUCGUCAAAUGAUCAUGGUGUUAGCCCCUAAGAAGAAGUAAUUAGCGGCUUUGCAAGUAACAAAACCUUUCUUUAUCGUUAGGUUUUGUUCGCCCUAAUUACAUUGUUUAUUAAACUACUACAAUGCGGAGUUAUUCAUCAUGCCUA